UUCGAUUCAAUCUCUCAUCAGCUCCUUCAAAGCUUGCAGUACCAAUAGCACUCGCAGGCCAUGGGCGCAUCAGCAUUGAAGCCAGUAUUGAGUCCUGAACAAAAAAAAACAUAAAACAUGUGGCUUUGUUGUGAUAGUCGAUCACGCUGGAAUUCUAAUCUCAAGGCGACUGUAGUUGGAGGAUCAUCUGCUCCUGCACCGAAUGUCAGCUCGGUCUCAUUUUCAGGCAAACUUGGAACGGAGGGAGUAAGUAACAUCACACAGUGAAGACUGGAGAAGUGGAGACUGGAGAAUACAAUAGCAGGAGCAGCUAGGCGUC
Molecule: long non-coding RNA, 319 nt
Organism: Hordeum vulgare subsp. vulgare (domesticated barley)
Lineage: Eukaryota; Viridiplantae; Streptophyta; Magnoliopsida; Poales; Poaceae
Exons: 3
Source: RefSeq, a predicted model, not a curated record